UGAGCAAGCUGUUUAACAACUCUGGGACACUUUUCCUCCUCUGGAAGGUGAAGGUUAUUCGUUGAACCAAUAAUCUCUGAAAUUUUUGGAGUUCCAUGAAGCUUGCACCAACUAUUAUCCCUGAGAUGACCUUGGCUGUGGAACCCAGAUUCUGUUCAGGGCCGAGAGCGCCACCUGGUGAUUCCAGUUUACGGAGGCUGGUGGGACCUCAACCCCAGCUGGUAUCCAGGCUCUUGACACCAUCUGGAGAAGGAAUUCAAGAGUGUGUCAGAAAAUGAUGAAAGUACAAAGAUUUAUUGCAAAGCGAAAAAUACACACUCAAGAAAGGGGAGUAUGGGUGGACUCAAGACAGAGUCCGAUGGGACUUGGGGUUUCUACCUUUUGGGUUUCUUUUUUUUUUUUUUUUGAUAUGGAGUCUCGCACUGUUGCCCAGGCUGGAGCGCAGUGGCGUGAUUUUGGCUCACUGCAACCUCUGCCUCCCGGGUUAAAACGAUUCUCCUGCCUCAGCGUCCCAAGUAGCUGGGAUUACAGGCUCCCACCACCAUGCCCGGCUAAUUUUUGUAUUUUUAGUAGAGACGAGGCCUCACCAUAUUGGCCAGGCUGUUCUCGAACUCCGGACCUUAGGUGAUCUGCCUGCCUCAGCCUCCCAAAGUGCUGGGAUUACAGGCGUGAGCCACCAUGCCCAAUGGGUGUGGGAUUUAGUAUAUUAAUGAGUGUAUAAUGAGGUCCUUGGUGAAACCUACAUCAAAUCCAGCACCGUGUUGGGUCCAGUCUGUCUUAGCCAGCUUGGUCCACACCCUGGUUUUUUAGGGUCUUAUUGGCCCCUUACUUCUGCAGCAAAAGUUUCCUUUUGCUAGUCAUGUGAAACUGCCACCUGGAAUUUUCUAUUCUCUAGUGACCACCCUGUAUUAUUCCUGUCUCACUGGGACCCUAAGAAAUUGGGAAUUCC
This 949-nucleotide long non-coding RNA is filed under the name Homo sapiens (human). Its description in RNAcentral is "non-protein coding lnc-TAOK3-1:7". Lineage: Eukaryota; Metazoa; Chordata; Mammalia; Primates; Hominidae. The record is from RNAcentral.